This is a long non-coding RNA of Perca fluviatilis (European perch), 2716 nucleotides long. RefSeq lists it as uncharacterized. The record is from RefSeq and is a predicted model, not a curated record. Lineage: Eukaryota; Metazoa; Chordata; Actinopteri; Perciformes; Percidae. The transcript has 3 exons.
AGUGUGUGUGUGUGUGUGUGUGUGUGUGUGUGUGUGUGUGUGUGUGAGUGUGUGAGUGUGUGAGUGUGUGAGUGUGUGAGUGUGUGAGUGUGUGAGUGUGUGAUGAUAGCAUGACCUGCACUGACGUACAAAAAAAUUGCAACGUUGGGGAGAAGGACUUGGACAGCAUCUCGAAUCUCGCUCAUGAUUUUCACGAAGCCUCGAAGUACAAGGUUUUGUACUACUGAUCAGUUGUUUUUUAUAAUCCAAUGUUAAUGAAAACCCAUUCUUGUACAGGUAAUGGUACUCUAUUUACACAGCCUUAAGAUAGUCUGAUGAAUGUUGGGGGAUCUGCUGAUCAACCUGCAUAUGGUUCUUUUUUUUUUCUUUUUUUCAAGCUGUGCUAUCACACUAAGGUCAAGUGACUUUUGAGCAGUUUCUUCUUAAAAUAAGAUAUCCAACAAACUUCAAGAAUUGGAACACUGCCUGUAAAUGUGAAAAUGUUGUAAAUUGGAUUUAGUGUCCUGGAUCACGAAUAAAUAAGCAACAAUCAAAGUAAAAGAAACAGUUUAAGGUACUUUCUUUUGAGAGUUUAAAACUUUGCUAAUCUGCUUUGUCAGGACUGUUGUCCAUCCUGAUUCACACUUACCUUGUUCUAAAUAACUCACACCAACUUCAAACCUGUGAGGAGAGCACAAAGAAAAGAGAGAAACUGCAAUCCUACAUGUAACUGUUUGGCAGAUUAGUUUUGUGUUCAUGUAGGAGCCAUCCCUCACAGUAAGAAGUUGAUUGAGAAAAUAGGUUUUCAGGGCCUAUAAACCCCAAAUCAGUUGGACAUAAUCCAAAUCGAAGCCACUUUCACGGUUUUUGAGUACAUUUACAUGCACACAAUGAUCUAAUCUCCAGGAGUAGCUCAUCAUUUUAGGGCAAGAAAUAGUCUGGCACCUUCCCCGUGUUUCCAGUCUUUAUGCUAAGCUACGCUACCUGUCUACAAGCUGUAGCUUCAUAUUGAAGAGACAAACACGCAAAGUAACUCUCAGCAAUAAAGUGAAUAAGCGUAAUUCCCAAAAUGUCGACCAGGGGUACCGAAAGCUAUUUAGUAAUGCAUUAUCAUAAAGUUGGUGGACUUGCUGAAGACACCUCUGAAACGACACCCUUUCAGUGCGUAAUGCAGGCUUUCGGUCUCCAAGUGGAGAUCACCCUGAUGACCUCACUGUGACAUCAUCAGGGUUAUUGUUACAGAUUAAGCAAAGCUCCUCCAGAGCCACAGAAGACAUCACUGUUAUCACAGGUUCAGGUACUCCCUGUGAUGAGUGAACUCACCGGUGUGUAAAAUUGCCCUUUUAAGCUACAGUAGGUAACAUUCAUAUAAAAAAGACUCAAACUGACGGUACUAAAUGAAUCCGAUAAUUUGUGACAAAAAUCCCGCUCCUCUGCCUCCUCCUGGCGCUCCUAAUGGCAUACGGAUAACAACCAAUCGGAGCCGAGGAGUUUCUAACACAGCGUUGGUUGUUUAACCUUUGGAAACUUCCCCAAAUAUUGUCUCAUGUGCUGUUGUCAGUAUAUGACCAUUUCAGCAAAAAUAAAUAUUUAUUUUUUUUAAAUAAAAGUUACCUACUGAACUUUUAACAACGUUCCGCUUACCUUGAUUAUGGCUCAGUGUGUUCACACUACAAUUUCAAUAGUAAUACAAUUGCUUUAAUUUGGUUGAUAUCGGGUAUAUUGUGUGCAUUUAGAUAUACUUAAACUAUUUCUCUAUACAUUGUUUGUUCAAUUGUUUGAUGUUAUAUUGGUGUUUUGACUCUCUCACCACAAGAUGCUACUGGAAUGACAUGUCCUAGACUAGCUGACAACCACAUUUGAAAUGAUUGAGUCAGAUGUGAAUGCAUCUAAAGAUUGCUACCCCCCCAUUCAUGUCGUCUUUUUUUUUUAGUCCUGUGGUUUUGCAGAUGGAAAAAUUCUUACAUGCAUGAUGGCAAAGUGUCUCUGUCCACAUUGAUUGCAGUAUGUAUGUACAGUAUGUAUGUACAGUAAGUAUACUACACCUGUGUCUGCAUUACUUAAAUUGAUAAAUGUCUGUUGUAAAAGCUUUUAACCAAAUUUGCUUGUUUUGUAAUGCAAAUAAAUAUUUUCUUUGAAUGCAUAUUUAUCCCCCAUCUUUGCGCUUUAAUUGCUCUAAUUUUUAUAGCCACUUUUUGUAUAGAGAGAGGUUAACAUUUCUUGUUCCGUCUGUGUUUUUGUUGUCUUAUUUCCUUUGGAAGUAAUUCCAAUCUACUAUCCUGUGAUGUACAAUUGUUUCUUACCUUACCCCCUCCCCCCCACACACCCCUGGGUCUCAAAACAUCCAAGUAUCAAGUAAGGACACAGUUCCUAUUCUCUGCAGAAAGAGGAAUCCACCCUGCCAUUAAUAAGCUACUCCCUCUACGUCUUGGUGCCUUAUGCAAACUCUUUCUGUUUGUCUUCCAGCUACGGAUCACAGCAUUUUCAUCAGUUAUUUACCUGACCGAAGCAAUGGCGUAUGUAUUAUUUGUGUGUGUUGUGUUUUUCUUUAAAUCAGUGCUUCAUGUUGAGAGAAGUGUAUGACACACACACUUAUUCUAUAGGUUUUUCACACUUUCUUGGUUUUGGAUUCUACUGGUUGUCUUGCUGACCUAUGAAAUGCACUGACAUUGAAGGAAACCUGAUGUAGAAAAAUGGACAUGUUUGGAAAAUCAAAUAAAUUGCAUUAUCAGUCGUA